GCGGUCCCACCUGUCAGCUAGACGCCUUUUUUUUUACUGGAAACCCGGCUUCUUUGAAGUUGAGAUUGAAGGGGCGGCCGGGCGGCGGCGGCGGCGGCGUGAUCGCAAGAGGUUCCGUCCACUGCCACCCCUACGCAAGAGAAGAGGGUGAUUCGUCGGGAUCCCAGUUCGAGAAAGAAGAUGAGCUCGGACUUGGAGAAAUCCAAGAACAAAAGGGCCAUGGCGGCCGUUCCGGAGGAAGUCCUGGCGAAGAAGAGGAAUCUGGGGAGGGAGGAAGGGCAGGAAGAAGAAGAGAAAAAGGACUCGCCUGCUCUACUUCCCAUGCCCAGAGGGAGCCGUGGCUGCUUCAUCGAUCCCAGGUGGCUCACCGCCAAGAUUGCAAAGGAUAAAAUGGAUGCCGCAAAAUUAGCAGCUCCCAUUCCCCCGGUGAAGAUUCCUACGCUUGAGCACUUUAAACCCCCGCCCAGGUUUCACACACGGGCGCUUCUCCCCUUGCGUGAAUCUGGAAGCAAGGCGGCGCUCUCCGCUGCUAAAUCUCUUGUUGGGAUUUCAUCAUCUCUUGAUAUAGGUAGCAAGCCUCUAAAGCGGUGCUCUGGUUUAUUGAUUGAUUGGGACGAGGAGAGCAAAACCUGCGUUGUUUUGACAACUGCACAUCUGAUUCGCACAAAGGAUUCUCCUGUCAAUGUCUGGUUUGGCGGAGAAGAGUAUACUUCCAAUGCUGAUGUCACUGUUCAUUUACUAGAUGGCACUAGUGAAAAGGGACAGCUGCUGUACUACCAGCCACACUAUGAUCUUGCUUUUGUGCGGGUUAAAGUGGACCAGCCUAUCCAGUUGCCGUCUUUCAGUGAAGAAGUGACAUUUGCUGAAGAAGUUCUUCGGCUAGGACGAGACAAUAUGUUAGAUCUACGGAUAACUUAUGGUAGAGCUGCAUAUCAGAAUCCAGUUAUUGAUGAGCGGUAUCAUUACAUGUACUUUGAUUGUGCAGAUGAUGAUAACGACGAUGACGAGUAUGACAGCGGAGGGCUAGUCAUUAGCUUGGAUGGAAAAAUUGUUGGAAUGUUCAACAUUAGCUCGAGGGGGUCUUUCAUACCUUCUUCUAUUUUGCUCAGUUGUGUGGAUUUGUGGAAGAAAUAUGGGCGCAUCCCCCGGCCCCAACUUGGAAUGGCGUUUGAGGCCAUCAAGCUUCUAGAGCCUGCUCAUGUUGACAAGAUAUGGCGCAUGUGCCACAUUGAUGAUGGUCUUGUUGUUCAAGAGGUCUUGAAAGGAUCUCCUGCUGAUAAAUUUGGAAUCGAAAGAGGUGAUAUUGUUGAGUGUUUCAAUGGAGAAUCCAUUUCUAAUACUGUUGAGUUGGAGAAUAGGUUGAUGAACACAUGCAAGGGCCUUUCAGACAAUUAUAAUGACCUUAUUGAAGUUCAUGUUUCUGUUGGGGUGUUUCACACGCUUAAAAAACAGCGAAGGAUUGGAGAGUUGACUGUAAGUGUAUCCGAUCUUGGAGAAGUUAUUGCAAGAGGUUCAAGAAAAAUCUCCUAAUUCUCUGCUUCUUAGGUCUGUCUAGAGUCCUUGGAGAAGGUUUGCCAACCCAUAGGAUUCUGGGCAUGAAUUUUGUGUUGUGUGACAUGUUGCAAAGAACGUGGAUUAAAUCCUACUGUCUCAUGAACUCGCUGCCAGAAAAGGGAUGCCAGGCUACUAGAUGUUUCUGUGCUGGGCGUACUGUGUUGGAUACUUGACCUGUGACCAUAGCCAGUACUCUAGAUAUUAGAAAUGACUUUAUAAUUUCUAUAUAUGAGUAAACUGCACAAUCCGCCGGAAAAGCUUUUUGGGUGUGUCGAAUAGCAACACACCACAUUGAUCC
RNA transcript from Triticum aestivum (bread wheat), 1852 nucleotides. It is a transcript of the gene named putative serine protease HhoA, with no coding region annotated. The record is from RefSeq and is a predicted model, not a curated record. Lineage: Eukaryota; Viridiplantae; Streptophyta; Magnoliopsida; Poales; Poaceae. The transcript has 12 exons.